GUUUGAGGCUUUAAACUUAAGUAGUGUGGGAGAAUAAAUUGGUAUUGAAUUUGUCAUCAACGAGAUUUGAAUAUAAAACCUCGCAAUUACAAGUGAAAAAAAUAUAUCACUAGAUUAGUACUAAGUGACUUUAAAAUACAUUUUGUUAACCACCAUACCUAUCUUUGGGAGUGUACAAGUUAACGUGUACAACAACAACAACAACAACAACAAAGCCUUUUCCCACUAAGUGGGGUCGGCUAUAUGAAUCCUAGAACGCCAUUGCGCUCGGUUUUGUGUCAUGUCCUCCGUUAGAUCCAAGUACUCUAAGUCUUUUCUUAGAGUCUCUUCCAAAGUUUUCCUAGGUCUUCCUCUACCCCUUCGGCCCUGAACCUCUGUCCCGUAGUCACAUCUUCGAACCGGAGCGUCAUUCGGCCUUCUUUGCACAUGUCCAAAUCACCGGAGCCGAUUUUCUCUCAUCUUUCCUACAAUUUCGGCUACUCCUACUUUACCUCGGAUAUCCUCAUUCCCAAUCUUAUCCUUUCUCGUGUGCCCACACAUCCCACGAAGCAUCCUCAUCUCCGCUACACCCAUUUUGUGUACGUGUUGAUGUUUCACCGCCCAACAUUCUGUGCCAUACAACAUCGCUGGCCUUAUUGCCGUCCUAUAAAAUUUUCCCUUGCGCUUCAGUGCCCUACGACGGUCACACAACACGCCGGAUGCAUUCUUACACUUCAUCCAUCCAGCUCGUAUUCUAUGGUUGAGAUCUCCAUCUAAUUCUCCGUUCUCUUGCAAGAUAGAUCCUAGGUAGCGAAAACGAUCGCUUUUUGUGAUCUUCGCUAGAUUGCUCCGGUCAUUAGUGUGGAUAAAUAUAUAAAUGGAUAGAGAUAGGAAAGCAAACACAAGAUGUACGUGGUUCACCCAGAUUGGCUACGUCCACGGAAUAGAAGAGUUCUCAUUAAUUGUGAAGGGUUUACACAAGUACAUAGGUUCAAGCUCUCCUUUAGUGAGUACAAGUGAAUGAUUUAGUACAAAUGACAUUAGGAAAUAUUGUGGGAGAAUGAUCUCGUAAUCACGAAACUUCUAAGUAUCGGAGUGUGGUGUCGUCUUGACUUGUCUUAUCUGUCUCAUAGGUAGAUGUGGCAUCUUCUCUGGAAGUACUCUUCCUCCAUCCAGGGGUGGUAUCUUUAACUGGUGGAGAUGCACAAGGUAAUGUAUCAAUUUCACUUGAAGCUUACUUGUAGUUUCAUGCUUGGUCAAGCGCGAUACAAACCAUGUAGUAGGAGUCCCCCAAGUCGCCGAGCUAGGGGGUCUGCUGAAAGAGGUGACAGACAAGGUAAGCAAUCAGAGCUCCGACUGAUUGUUCACCUUCUCCCCAUCUUGCAGCAGCAUGAAGGAUAAAGAGAAGAAAAAUGAGAAGAGAUGAUAUGAGAUACUUUUGCUUUUGAAGAAGUAACUUUCCACAGGCUUAUUCUUGAACUGAGCUGGAGGGUUUUCUGGUUUCCUCCAGAGUAUAAGGCCGACUGAAGAAUUUGAGGGUCAAAACAAGUCCAUCAAAUCUAGAGUACGUUCCACCCUGCUGAUAUGGGAUACUUUUGCUUUUGACAGAGUAAUGGAUGUAUCGGCACGUGUGCUGUUACGCUUGUCUCCACAUGCUUCCUUGUAUCCUUCGCACUUGCCCUAUCUGUUCCUCAAGCAGAUGCGGAAUCUUCCCUGGAAACAUAAGAUGUUGAAGAUGAGUACUCGAGAGCAAUGCCAGGUAAGUAAUCAGGUAAGGGGUUCCAGGAAGUCAGUUCCUGGCUGGAAGCUUGAUUCCAAGUGCUGACUGAUUGCUCUCUUUCUCCUUGUCUUGCAGGUAAAAACAAGGCCAAAGGAAAAGACAGGGAAAAAGCAUGAUAUGGGAUACUCUUGCUUUUAACCCUGAUGAUAUGAGAUAUUCUUGCUCUAGUAUAGCUUGUUUGCAGAGGUAUUAUCGGGGGGAAAGAAAGCUAAAUAUUUCGAAAUGCUUCGUUGGGAGUGCCCUCUCAGAUAUGAUGAAGGGUUGAGCAUUUUUGCAGGUCUGCCUGUCUGUUGGGGAUGGAGGUCGACAUAUAUAGGAGUCUCCCUAACAAGUAGUAAUGCUAUUCCUUUACCCUGCUUGGUCAUAGCACGGUAGUGGGAGCUGCCAGUUUCACAUGUUUUAACUAUGUCAGAGAACUUUGAAAAAGUGGUCUGUGGUAUCUGGCUCUCGAGAUUCGGAGAACGAUGCCUCUUCGAUUUUUGAGAAAGCAAUCAUGCUGCUCUCGAGAUUCGGAGAGCAGUGUCUCUUCGAUUUUUGAGAAAGUAAUCAUGUUGGGAGUCUGGCUCUCGAGAUUCGGAGGCGGUGCUUCUUCGAUUUUGGAGCAAGCAAUCUUGUUGGGAGUGUUGUCUCGAAUGUGAGUAAAGGUUGGGCAUGUUUGCUAGUCUACCUUGCCACGAAGCACAAAGGUUGACACACAGGGACUUUCCAAUUAUCCAGCAAUGGUACUGUUCCUUUACCCUCUCUUCGAUUUUGAGAAAGUAGUCAUGUUGGGAGUCUGGCUCUCGAGAUUCGGAAGACGGUGUCUCUUCGAUUUUGGAGCAAGCAAUCUUGUUGGGAGUGUUUUCUCGAAUGUGAGUAAAGGUUGGGCAUGUUUGCUAGUCUACCUUGCCACGAAGCACAGAGGUUGACAAACAGGGACUUUCCAAUUAUCCAGCAGUGGUACUGUUCCUUUACCCUUGUGGGUAAUAAUAUGGUAGCUAGACCUUCAAAAUUUAUGGGUCUAAACUUUGUUAGUGCUGUUUCUUUGCUAUUCUUUUACCCUUCUUGGUCAGAGCGAUGUAGUGGGAGCUGCAAGCUUCACGUGCUCAACUUUGGCAGAGAACUUUGGCAAAGUUAUCUGUGGUACCCAUGAGCUAUUGUUGCGUGUGGGAAGUGGGUGAUUGAACAGUAAGAUUCAUGUGCUUUCUACUUCACCAGAAGUCUUCGACAGAAUGCCCAUAAUUUCUGCAAAGCUGAGUGUGCGUGUGACAGGUGCUGACAAGGCUAGAAAAGUAGGUGCCUCUUCGAUUUCUGAGAUCGGCCCUCGUGGUCUAUGGGGAGCCCAGCUUUUGAGAAAGCGAGCGCCUCUUCGAUUGAUUCGGAGAACGAUGCCUCAUCGAUUUUUGAGAAAGCAAUCAUGCUGGGGGUCUGGCUCUCGAAGAUUCGGGGAGCAGUGUCUCUUCGAUUUUUGAGAAAGUUUGGGAGUUUGGCUCUCGAGAUUCGGAGGGCGGUGCCUCUUCGAUUUUGGAGCAAGCAAUCUUGUUGGGAGUGUUUUCUCGAAUGUGAGUAAAGGUUGGGCAUGUUUGCUAGUCCACCUUGCCACGAAGCACAGAGGUUGACACACAGGGACUUUCCAAUUAUCCAGCAAUGGUACUGUUCCUUUACCCUCUCUUCGAUUUUUAAGAAAGUAGUCAUGUUGGGAGUCUGGCUCUCGAGAUUCGGAGGACAGUGCCUCUUCGAUUUUGGAGCAAGCAAUCUUAUUGGGAGUGUUUUCUCGAAUGUGAGUAAAGGUUGGGCAUGUUUGCUAGUCUACCUUGCCACGAAGCACAGAGGUUGACACACAGGGACUUUCCAAUUAUCCAGCAGUGGUACUGUUCCUUUACCCUUGUGGGUAAUAAUAUGGUAGCUAGACCUUCAAAAUUUAUGGGUCUAAACUUUGUUAGUGCUGUUUCUUUGCUAUUCUUUUACCCUUCUUGGUCAGAGCGAUGUAGUGGGAGCUGCAAGCUUCACGUGCUCAACUUUGGCAGAGAACUUUAGCAAAGUUAUUUGUGGUACCCAUGAGCUAUUGUUGCGUGUGGGAAUUGGGUGAUUGAACAGUAAGAUUCAUGUGUUUUCUACUUCCCCAGAAGUCUUCGACAGAAUGCCCAUAAUUUCCGCAAAGCUGAGUGUGCGUGUGACAGGUGCUGACAAGGCUGGAAAAGUAGGUGCCUCUUCGAUUUCUGAGAUCGGCCCUCGUGGUCUCUGGGGAGCCCAGCUUUUGAGAAAGCGAGCGCCUCUUCGAUUUCUGAGAUCAGCCUUCGAGGUCUUUGAGCAACCCAACUUUUGAGAAAGCAAACGCCUCUUCGAUUUCUGAGAUCAACCCUCGUGAUCUCUAAGCAGCCCAGCUUUUGAGAAAGCAAACGCCUCUUCGAUUUCUGAGCAGGCGCCUCUUCGAUUUCUGAAGCUCCGUCGAGUGCAGAUUUUUAUAGGGGCUGGCAUUAAGUUCCAAAGCACACUUGAAUCUCCACCAGUAGAAGCUUCAUUCUUGCACUUCUAAGAUCUUGAUUUGUCCGACCUCUUCUCUCUUCAACACCUUUGAAAAUGUCUGGCCCCUCCGACUGUCGUUUUGACUUGAACCUUGUUGAAGAGGCAGCCCCGCAUUCUCCAGACAACAUAUGGCGCCCAUCCUUCGUCUCCCCUACUGGUCCUCUUACCGUUGGGGAUUCCGUGAUGAAGAAUGAUAUGACCGCUGCGGUGGCGGCCAGGAACCUUCUCACUCCCAAAGAUAACAUACUACUUUCCAAACGGUCUGAUGAGUUAGCUGUUAAGGAUUCGCUGGCUCUCAGUGUUCAGUGUGCAGGUUCUGUGUCUAAUAUGGCCCAACGCCUAUUUGCUCGAACCCGCCAAGUUGAAUCAUUGGCGGCUGAAGUGAUGAGUCUCAAACAGGAGAUUAGAGGGCUCAAGCAUGAGAAUAAACAGUUGCACCGGCUCGCACAUGACUAUGCUACAAACAUGAAGAGGAAGCUUGACCAGAUGAAGGAAACUGAUGGUCAGGUUUUACUUGAUCAUCAGAGAUUUGUGGGUUUGUUCCAAAGGCAUUUAUUGCCUUCGUCUUCUGAGGCUGUACCGCGUAAUGAAGCUCCAAAUGAUCAACCUCUGAUGCCUCCUCCUUCAAGGGUUCUGUCCAGUACUGAGGCUCCAAAUGAUCCCCCUCCGGUGCCUUCUCUUUCUGGGGCUCUACCGACUGCUGAGACUUCUCCUAAGCAACAUUUGUGAAGGCUCCCUCUUGUGUGUUUAUUUUGACUCAUGUAUAUGUACAUAUUUAACUCCGCCUAUGUCUUACAUGGCCGGUCCCAAGCCCGGGUAAAGGAGGAGGGGGAGGGCGUCAGGUAGUCGACAGCCGGCACUCCAUGAUCACGUCGAAUCCUUAUGAAAAUGUAUAUGUACAUAUUUGUAGCUUAUUGGGGAUAUCAAUAAAUAAGCUUUCCUUCAUUUCAACGUAUUGUGUUAGAUACACCAAAGCCUUCUUCGCUAAGUUCUUUGAAUUUUCUUUUGUUGAAGCUUGUAUGUUGAAGCUUUCUGAGUGGAGCAUGUAGGUUGGGGUAGUGUUCCCUUAAUUUUCCGAGUGAGGAAAACUUCUCGGUUGAAGACUUGGAAAAUCCAAGUCACUGAGUGGGAUCGGCUAUAUGAAUCUUAGAACGCCAUUGUGCUCGAUCCUGUGUCAUGUCCUUCGUUAGAUCCAAAUACUCUAAGUCUUUUCUUAGAGUCUCUUCCAAAGUUUUCCUAGGUCUUCCUCUACCCCUUCGGCCCCGAACCUCUGUCCCAUAGUCGCAUCUUGUAAUCGGAGCGUCAGUAGGCCUUCUUUGCACAUGUCCAAACCACCGUAACC
This 5606-nucleotide long non-coding RNA is filed under the name Malus domestica (apple). RNAcentral's name for it is "long non-coding RNA (MDOM_LNC001389)". Lineage: Eukaryota; Viridiplantae; Streptophyta; Magnoliopsida; Rosales; Rosaceae. The record is from RNAcentral.